RNAcentral lists this ribosomal RNA (253 nucleotides) under uncultured bacterium. RNAcentral describes it as "partial 16S ribosomal RNA". It matches the Rfam family "Bacterial small subunit ribosomal RNA", at positions 524 to 776 of the family's 1533-position model. The record is from RNAcentral.
UACAGAGGUCUCAAGCGUUGUUCGGAAUCACUGGGCGUAAAGCGCACGUAGGCGGACUUUCAAGUCAGGGGUGAAAUCCCGGAGCUCAACUUCGGAAUUGCCUUUGAUACUGUAGGUCUCGAGUCCGGAAGAGGUGGGUGGAAUUCCUAGUGUAGAGGUGAAAUUCGUAGAUAUUAGGAAGAACACCGGUGGCGAAGGCGGCCCACUGGUCCGGUACUGACGCUGAGGUGCGAAAGCGUGGGGAGCAAACAGG